AAUAAGUAUAGUUUUGCACUAUUCAUACCCAAUGUUUAACCGUUCGUCUUAUUUGAAAAUUUUUAAUGAUUAGUACUUUUAUUGUUAUUAGGUGAUAAAACAUGAAUAGCAUUUUAAUUAUGUGCAACUAACUUUCUUUAAUUUUUCAUCACAUAAAUUUUUCAAAUAAGACGGACGGUGAAACGUUGUACACGGAAUCCUACGUCUGUAUUUAUU
Oryza meridionalis is the source of this 216-nucleotide non-coding RNA. The record is from Rfam. Lineage: Eukaryota; Viridiplantae; Streptophyta; Magnoliopsida; Poales; Poaceae.